GACGAACGCUGGCGGCGUGCUUAACACAUGCAAGUCGAACGGAAAGGCCCUGCUUUUGUGGGGUGCUCGAGUGGCGAACGGGUGAGUAACACGUGAGUAACCUGCCCUUGACUUUGGGAUAACUUCAGGAAACUGGGGCUAAUACCGGAUAGGAGCUCCUGCUGCAUGGUGGGGGUUGGAAAGUUUCGGCGGUUGGGGAUGGACUCGCGGCUUAUCAGCUUGUUGGUGGGGUAGUGGCUUACCAAGGCUUUGACGGGUAGCCGGCCUGAGAGGGUGACCGGCCACAUUGGGACUGAGAUACGGACCAGACUCCUACGGGAGGCAGCAGUGGGGAAGAUUGCACAAUGGGCGGAAGCCUGAUGCAGCAACGCCGCGUGCGGGAUGACGGCCUUCGGGUUGUAAACCGCUUUCGCCUGUGGCGAAGCGUGAGUGACGGUAAUGGGUAAAGAAGCACCGGCUAACUACGUG
RNAcentral lists this ribosomal RNA (468 nucleotides) under uncultured bacterium. RNAcentral describes it as "partial 16S ribosomal RNA". It matches the Rfam family "Bacterial small subunit ribosomal RNA", at positions 28 to 507 of the family's 1533-position model. The record is from RNAcentral.